UAAGGAAUAUUGCGCAAUGGACGAAAGUCUGACGCAGCAACGCCGCGUGAAGGAUGAAGGCCCUUUGGGUCGUAAACUUCUGUAGCAGGGGAAUAAGAGCCCUCUUGGAGGGUGUGAAGGUACCCUGAAAGUAAGCCACGGCUAACUACGUGCCAGCAGCCGCGGUAAUACGUAGGUGGCAAGCGUUGUCCGGAUUCACUGGGUGUAAAGGGUGCGCAGGCGGAUUUGUAAGUCAGAGGUGAAAUCUCACGGCUUAACCGUGAAACUGCCUUUGAUACUGCGGAUCUUGAGUUAGAGAGAGGUUGAUGGAAUUCCAGGUGUAGCGGUGAAAUGCGUAGAUAUCUGGAAGAACACCAGUGGCGAAGGCGGUCAACUGGCUCUUAACUGACGCUCAUGCACGAAAGCGUGGGUAGCGAACAG
Molecule: ribosomal RNA, 420 nt
Filed under: uncultured bacterium
Lineage: Bacteria
Description: bacterial SSU rRNA
Rfam family: Bacterial small subunit ribosomal RNA
Source: RNAcentral